RNAcentral lists this non-coding RNA (25 nucleotides) under Rattus norvegicus (Norway rat). Lineage: Eukaryota; Metazoa; Chordata; Mammalia; Rodentia; Muridae. The record is from RNAcentral.
UGAGAUCUGGGCUGCUCUUAACUCC